GAAGCGAGAAACGAUGCCUGGUUGACAAACCGGAUGUCUCACAAGGUGUCGCCUACGUCACAGAUCUCGAUUGCGCAUUUUACUGGCAGUGCGACUUCGCUAACGUCCUCCUGAAAAAUGUCACCCUAAAACAAUGCGCUAUCGGAUCGUUAUGGGCAUCCUUGGCAUAUGUAGAAACCCCACCAGCACCGGGCCAGGAACCCGUCUCAACUGUGAGAAUCAGCCCGAUCCUGAAUGUCGAGCGAAGUACCUCCCCCUUGGGACGAAACCACAGUGCCCCUUGCAUCCAACAGAUCCACCUACUACAACAGAAGCAAAACCGCCUCUUGGAAAGAACAAUUGUACUGGCUAUGGUUUGGGGUUCCAAGAAAUUCUAGGAGAAGAAAGCAAAGUAUGGUACCUAAACGCAAAUCAAACAUACGGCUGUGGACAUCUUAUCUUUUACUUUGACCCAUUAGUAUGUGAUUGCGCCGCGGCAGGAAAGUUAAAUGGAUAUGUAUUAUUACGGAUACAUAAAUCGAUAAAGGAUAGUGUUAUCAAUAUUUGUGAUACUUACUUAACAACUUUUUAGGAAAACUUUAAGAAACAACAAAGGAUCUAGAAUGGUUUUCAUUACACUAUGCUGCAGGUCUCUAGAUAAAGCACAAACGUCAACUUCUGCUAACGGAGCAGAAUGUUGUUAUCGGAGUUGCAUCAUGGUUAUGGCAUCUCCAGUUAUUCGCAAAUAAUGACGAAAUUUUGAGGAUAAUCACUUCAUUAAAAUGGAAAAAAUGCAAAAAAUGCAAAAAAUGUGAUAAACCUGAGCACACUGCCACCUAUAAUUCCAUGUGUCGUUUGUCCCUUCCCGAGAAAUAUUGAACUGCAGCAAUUUUGUAAUUAUGUGUGAAUACAGACUUUGAUAUGCAGGCAUGUUUCUUCAUUAUGACAUUCUGUCCUUCAACCACUUCAAUAUAAUAGAACUAACAUAUAAGCAGGUGACCAUAUAAUGUUUGGCGGCAAUAUAUAUUGGAAUUUUCAGAUAUGUCCCUAUUUCUGAAGGUACUCAGAAUACUAUUAUCAUAAUUGUACAAAAUCCCAUGCUUACAAUAAAAAGAGGAAGCGCUAGUUAGCAGUCUGAAGAGUUUACCUUCGGUUAAUUGCUGUUUUACUACAGUAUUAUGUCUAAACUAGUAACAAACCCUUCCUUAUCAAAAAUCUAGUUUAAAAAACUCAACGUUGUGCAUUUACAGUUCACUACAGAGUUCACUAUAUUGUUCAUACGUUUAAAAAUAAUAUCUUCAAAGACCUGGAGUAUCAAUUUGUUCGUGCAAACUCUGGAUUCUAUCAAAAGAAUUAAGAGCGUUUAAAUGAAUCAAACAAUACAGAUAACGUGAUUUCUCAGGCUCAAAUGUUCCGUAACCACCGAUGAUAGAGUCAUUAAAAUUUAUGUAUAUUAUUUGAAAGAAAUACAGAAACGACCAGGUCUCUCAAAA
This is a long non-coding RNA of Lingula anatina, 1472 nucleotides long. NCBI's taxonomy places the organism in Eukaryota, Metazoa, Brachiopoda, Lingulata, Lingulida, Lingulidae. The record is from RefSeq and is a predicted model, not a curated record.